RNAcentral lists this ribosomal RNA (487 nucleotides) under uncultured bacterium. RNAcentral's name for it is "bacterial SSU rRNA". It matches the Rfam family "Bacterial small subunit ribosomal RNA", at positions 28 to 507 of the family's 1533-position model. The record is from RNAcentral.
GACGAACGCUGGCGGCGUGCUUAAUACAUGCAAGUCGAGCGAGGUUACUGUUUCGGAUCCCUUCGGGGUGAAGAAGCUUUAACCUAGCGGCGGACGGGUGAGUAACGCGUGGGUAACCUACCCCAAAGUCCGGGAUAACAGCGGGAAACCGCUGCUAAUACCGGAUGCCUUUACCUUGGGGCAUCUUGAGGUAAAGAAAGGUAACGCUUUGGGAUGGGCCCGCGUCCCAUUAGCUAGUUGGUGAGGUAACGGCUCACCAAGGCGACGAUGGGUAGCCGGCCUGAGAGGGUGGACGGCCACACUGGGACUGAGACACGGCCCAGACUCCUACGGGAGGCAGCAGUAGGGAAUAUUGCGCAAUGGACGGAAGUCUGACGCAGCGACGCCGCGUGAGCGAUGAAGGUCUUCGGAUCGUAAAGCUCUGUCCUUGGGGAAGAGGUCUUCGGACUUGACGGUACCCAAGAAGAAAGCCCCGGCUAACUACGUG